AGGGCACUUGGCUGGUUCAGUUAGUAAAGCAUGAGACUCUUGGUCUUGGGGUUGUGAAUUCGAGCCCCUUUGGGCAUGGAGCCUGCUUC
This is a long non-coding RNA of Mustela erminea (ermine), 89 nucleotides long. RefSeq lists it as uncharacterized. The record is from RefSeq and is a predicted model, not a curated record. NCBI's taxonomy places the organism in Eukaryota, Metazoa, Chordata, Mammalia, Carnivora, Mustelidae. The transcript has 3 exons.